GGGGACCUCCGUGGGGAGCCAGCGUGAAUCGAGGGCAGGGCCCGGGCUCCCCGCCCCGUCUCCGCGGCAGACCCUGUGGUGAUUUAAAUGUGCCUGGUGGCGGUGAGGGGUCCAGAUGUAAAAUGUCAGCCCAGCCAGUGUGACAUCACCACGGUCUAGUGUGACACCCCCAGAAAUUGGGCAGCGCGCGGAGAGGCAGUGCCUACACGGGAAGCCCCCCUGCUGCUAAAAUCGGUCUUAACUGAUGAAGAGAAGUAGGGGAGAUUUUCUAGAAGAAGGAGCUAAUCUGUGGUGACCAAAUGUUAUGAGAAGUAAAGGAGGAUAAGGAGUCAAGAGCGGCCAGUGGACUUGGCAGUCGGAAGGUCGCUGGUGAUCUUGGGACAUGAGCUCCUAGGAGUGACAAGUACUCUGGGAAGAAGAGCUUACCAGAUCUGUGCCAGAUGGCUUUGGGCUUAGAAACUAAAACCAAAGCUGAGAAGUGAAGUGCCCACCUCUUGGGAAGCUACCCAGGAUAAUCAGCAGAAUAGGACAUUUUGAGGACAGUCCAUCCCAGGAGAAACGAUGGCUUUGGUGGAAUAGGAGUUUGGACGAAGGCCAUGCCUCUGGGGUUAAAGAGGAGGAGGAGUCAAAUGCAAAUAAAAACGGGGAAAGUGAACUAGAUACAGGUGAUGGAUGCACAAUGCCGUGAAGGCACUAAAUGUCACUGAGCUGUGCACUUUCAAAUGGUUAAUUGUAUGUUAUGUGAAUUUCACCUCAAUAAAAAAGAAAAAGA
This is a long non-coding RNA of Pteropus alecto (black flying fox), 772 nucleotides long. RefSeq lists it as uncharacterized. The transcript has 4 exons. Lineage: Eukaryota; Metazoa; Chordata; Mammalia; Chiroptera; Pteropodidae. The record is from RefSeq and is a predicted model, not a curated record.